CUCAUGGUGGAGCGGUAAAAGAUGGCCUCUGGCUAUCACUUACAGAUGGGCCCGCGGCGCAUUAGCUAGUUGGUAAGGUAACGGCUUACCAAGGCGACGAUGCGUAGCCGACCUGAGAGGGUGAUCGGCCACACUGGGACUGAGACACGGCCCAGACUCCUACGGGAGGCAGCAGUAGGGAAUCUUCCGCAAUGGACGAAAGUCUGACGGAGCAACGCCGCGUGAGUGAUGAAGGUUUUCGGAUCGUAAAGCUCUGUUGUUAGGGAGGAACAAGUGCCGUUUGAAUAAGGCGGCACCUUGACGGUACCUAACCAGAAAGCCACGGCUAACUACGUGCCAGCAGCCGCGGUAAUACGUAGGUGGCAAGCGUUGUCCGGAAUUAUUGGGCGUAAAGCGCGCGCAGGCGGUCUCUUAAGUCUGAUGUGAAAGCCCACGGCUCAACCGUGGAGGGUCAUUGGAAACUGGGAGACUUGAGUACAGAAGAGGAGAGUGGAAUUCCACGUGUAGCGGUGAAAUGCGUAGAUAUGUGGAGGAACACCAGUGGCGAAGGCGACUCUCUGGUCUGUAACUGACGCUGAGGCGCGA
RNAcentral lists this ribosomal RNA (585 nucleotides) under uncultured Bacilli bacterium. Its description in RNAcentral is "bacterial SSU rRNA". It matches the Rfam family "Bacterial small subunit ribosomal RNA", at positions 187 to 756 of the family's 1533-position model. Lineage: Bacteria; Bacillati; Bacillota; Bacilli. The record is from RNAcentral.